GAGUUUGAUGUGAGAGAAUUUAAUCUGAGUACCAGAUAGCAUCAGGGUUGCAUCUGCCUCCAGCCUGUUUUCCGGCCUCGUCCCUUUUCCCUGUCAAUGGAAUUUGGCAUCCAGGUCUACGUGCUCCCUCUGAGAAAAGGACAGAGGAAAUGAUGAAGUCUAUAACACCAAUUUCAAAAGAGCUAGGGCUUCUUCAGUCAGCACAGGAGGCUCCUGCAAGGGAAAAACGACUCUAGGAGAUGGAGUUGCCUGUGGGGAAGCAGCUCCAGCACAGAUCAAGGCUUCACAUGAAAGAGUCUGGACUUGUAUUUUGUUAACGUUCACUGUGAAGAAGAUGCUCAAUGGGAAAUACAGACAUACAGAAGGGAAGGGGAAAUCUAAGGAAGUCAUUGGUAUCUAGGCCACAGAUACUGUAUUUGUUUUGUGUUGCCUUAAGAGAAUACCUGAGACUGGGUAAUAUAUAAAGAAAAGUGGUUUAUUUAGCUCACAAUUCAGCAUGCUGAGAAGUUCAAGAGCAUGGUGUGGCAUCUGGCUGGCUUCUGGUAAAAGUUGUGUGCUGAGUCAAAACAUGGCAAAGAAGCAGAAAAGCAAGCGGUCAUGUGCGAAGAAAUCACAUGGCAAGAGAGGAAGCAAGACAGAAUCUAGGAAGCUGGAGUCACUUUUAUAAGAGCUCAUUCUUCGGCAACUAAUUCAGUCCAGCUGGAAAGAGAACUCACUCAUUCCUGUGGGAAAGCAUUAAUCUAUUCAUGAGAAAUCCACCCCCAUGAAGCAAACACCUCACUAUCCCACCUCCAGACAUCAAGAGAUUGGAGAUCACACUUCAACAUGAGUUUCCGAGGGGACAAACAAAUCAUAGCAGUUACCAAUCCUGCUUUAAUACAGGCCUGACGAAAUGUCCUUUUGCAA
Molecule: non-coding RNA, 906 nt
Organism: Macaca mulatta (Rhesus monkey)
Lineage: Eukaryota; Metazoa; Chordata; Mammalia; Primates; Cercopithecidae
Source: RefSeq, a predicted model, not a curated record